CAAAAGACAAAUUUUGGGUUUCUGUGUUCAACAUUUGACUGUCUGUCUUAUAUAUAAUUUUUUUUAUAAUUAGUAUUUUCAUUGUUGUUAGAUGAUAAAACAUGAUUAAUACUUUAUGCGUGAAUUUGUCUUUUUAAUUUUUUUAUAUAUAUUUUUAAAUAAGACGGAUGGUCAAACGUUGGACACGGAAACCUAGGGUUUGUCUUUUU
Molecule: non-coding RNA, 209 nt
Organism: Oryza barthii
Lineage: Eukaryota; Viridiplantae; Streptophyta; Magnoliopsida; Poales; Poaceae
Source: Rfam